UACAGAGGGCUCAAGCGUUGUUCGGAUUCAUUGGGCGUAAAGGGUGCGUAGGUGGCGCUGUAAGUCGGGUGUGAAAUUUCGGAGCUUAACUCCGAAACUGCAUUCGAUACUGCGGUGCUUGAGGACUGGAGAGGAGACUGGAAUUCAUGGUGUAGCAGUGAAAUGCGUAGAGAUCAUGAGGAAGACCAGUGGCGAAGGCGGGUCUCUGGACAGUUCCUGACACUGAGGCACGAAGGCCAGGGGAGCAAACGGG
RNAcentral lists this ribosomal RNA (253 nucleotides) under uncultured bacterium. RNAcentral describes it as "partial 16S ribosomal RNA". It matches the Rfam family "Bacterial small subunit ribosomal RNA", at positions 524 to 776 of the family's 1533-position model. The record is from RNAcentral.